CAGCAGUCCUCUCCUGGAUAUACAUUCUGGACAUCCUCACCCAGGUCCUGAAGGGGACAUGUACCAGAUAUCCACUAUGGGUUUGUGCAUGGUGCCGGGGAACUAGGGCAAGAAAGUAUUCAUCCCUGUGGGAGUGGAGGUGCAAAACGUGACAGCAGCCCACCCUCCAUGGCCCACCGGAGUUGGCAUAGUGAAUCAGAUGUGCUGGUCACUGCAACUAGAUGGAUCCUCACAGCGCAGUGCUGAGUGAGGAAAGCACAGUCUAGAACUGUCACAUAAUGUCACGUGUGGAAAUUUAAAAUGCAUGCACAGGAGAGAAAUACACAUUUAUCAUAAACACAUAAAACAAAAGAUCCACAUUACGUAGACUGGAACCGCUACCCAUGCAGGAAGGAACAGGAGAGUGGAGAACAGAGAUGAAUAGAAAAAUAAACUGGGAGGAGAGGGGACCACAUAAAAAUUUGUACACAAAGGUUCAUAGCAGGAUUAUUCUUAAUACCCAGAAAGUGGAAACAACUCAAAUGUCCAUCAGCUGAUGAAUAGACACAUAAACUCUGGUCUAUCCAUAUACAAAGGGGUAUUAUUUGGCCAUAAACAGGAAUGAAGUACUGAUUUGUGCUGCAGCACGGAAGACCUUUGGAAACAAUAUGCUAACUGAAAGAAGUCAGUCACAAAAGACCACAUAUUGUGUGAUUCCAUUUUUAUAAAGUGUCCAAAAUAGGCAAAUCUAAGGAAACAGUGGGAAGGGUAUAGCUCAGUGGUAGAGCGCGUGCUUAACAUGCACAAGGUCCUGGGUUCAAUCCCCAGUACCUCCAGUAAAUAAAUAAAUAAACCUAAUUACCCACCCACCCACCCCCACCCAAAGGAAAAAAAGAAAGAAACAGAAAGUAGAUUAAGGUUUCCUAGCGCUGGGGGGAGGGGAAGUUUGAGAGAAAAUAGGGAGUCACUGCUAAUGAGUAUAAGGUUUCUUUUUGGGGUGAUGAAAAUGUUCUGAACUUAGAUAGUAGUGAUGGUUGUACAACUCUGAAGAUACUAAAAACUAUUGUUGUACACUUUAAAUGGGUGAGUUUUAUGCUCUGUGAAUUAUCUCAAGACAUUUAAAAAGAUAAACAGGUCAGGGAGAGUAUGCCCAAGUGGUUGCCCUGGGGUCCUUCCUCUUUGUUCUUCUCCUUUUGUGUUGGAACUGGGUGACGUUCACCUACCUUAACCCUGCCCAAGGGCCAUUGCCCUCAAAUGUGCACAUUUGCCUACGGCCCCGACCAAAGGCUCCCUGGAACUGACUCAAAGCCGACUUCAGGGCAGGACUGACUAGCAACCGGCAGACCACUUCCUCCACUGCUCAAAAGGGUCACUGCCAGCCAGUGCGGAAGGUUUUCUCACAGCAGAAGUUGAAAAGAACAUUCAGGACCUUCUGUGUUCUGUUAACCAAUUAUGAAAAAGGCUGAAUGUGUGAGAUUGAGAGACUUUCCAUCAAGGGGCUGAAGCUGUACUGGUAAGGAGGAUCCUUGUGUCUCCCUCCAUGGCUGGCCUGCCCCCUCUCCCAACAUGCUCCAUGCAGAGCCCCCCACCCUCUGCUCCCAUCACCACCAUGUUUCCAAGGGCUUUUGGGGAUCAUUAACACGACUUGCCAUGAUUUACUCAACAUUUCCCUUUAAAGCCAAUGACUCCCUUUUACUUCAGUCUUGUCCUACCCUCUUUAGCUUUGUCCUCAACAAUCUUUGCUAUGAAAUCCCUAGUUUGAUAGGUUUAUCAUUUUUCUCUAUUACAUAUUAAA
Long non-coding RNA from Camelus dromedarius (Arabian camel), 1774 nucleotides. RefSeq lists it as uncharacterized. Lineage: Eukaryota; Metazoa; Chordata; Mammalia; Artiodactyla; Camelidae. The transcript has 3 exons. The record is from RefSeq and is a predicted model, not a curated record.